GAUGAACGCUGGCGGCGUGCCUAAUACAUGCAAGUCGAGCGAACAGACGAGGAGCUUGCUCCUCUGACGUUAGCGGCGGACGGGUGAGUAACACGUGGAUAACCUACCUAUAAGACUGGGAUAACUUCGGGAAACCGGAGCUAAUACCGGAUAAUAUAUUGAACCGCAUGGUUCAAUAGUGAAAGACGGUUUUGCUGUCACUUAUAGAUGGAUCCGCGCCGCAUUAGCUAGUUGGUAAGGUAACGGCUUACCAAGGCGACGAUGCGUAGCCGACCUGAGAGGGUGAUCGGCCACACUGGAACUGAGACACGGUCCAGACUCCUACGGGAGGCAGCAGUAGGGAAUCUUCCGCAAUGGGCGAAAGCUUGACGGAGCAACGCCGCGGGAGUGAUGAAGGUCUUCGGAUCGUAAAACGCUGUUAUUAGGGAAGAACAAAUGUGUAAGUAACGAUGCACGUCUUGACGGUACCUAAUCAGAAAGCCACGGCGAACUACGU
RNAcentral lists this ribosomal RNA (496 nucleotides) under uncultured bacterium. RNAcentral's name for it is "partial 16S ribosomal RNA". It matches the Rfam family "Bacterial small subunit ribosomal RNA", at positions 28 to 506 of the family's 1533-position model. The record is from RNAcentral.